RNAcentral lists this long non-coding RNA (2021 nucleotides) under Olea europaea subsp. europaea. The record is from RNAcentral. Lineage: Eukaryota; Viridiplantae; Streptophyta; Magnoliopsida; Lamiales; Oleaceae.
CAACUAUUUUUGACAAAAAUUUUAAAUACCACAGGCUAUAUGUUCUAGUUAACUUACACAAUGACGCUCAAAACGUGUACAAAAUAAAUAACGCACUGGGAUCUCUGACAUAUUUAUUGAAAUUAGCUACAAAUCCUACUAUGCAUAAAAUUCCAGAAUUUUCUAAUUGUUGCUCUUGUUUCUCUCUCUAAUUUGGCAAGACUUUUACAUAAGACUUAUAAAAAAUGAACAUCAUUUCCACCCGGUUCAAACCAUUCUGGUUUUGUCCCUUUUUGUUUGAUGGAUAAAAAUUACUUCGGGAUUUGAUGGCAGCCAACUUACAGCAACUGCAAACAAAGGUUGUCCAAGCCUCACAAUUUGUGGUCAAGAAUGGAACUUCCUACUACAAGCAGUUGUUGGAGCAGAGCAAACAAUACAUUCAGGAGCCAUUUACUGCGGAGAAAUGCAAUGAAUUGGCCAAGCAGUUGUUUUACACUCGUCUUGCGAGGUUGAUUUGUUUAUAUUCUUAAUGAGUACUCUUUAGUUUUGAUUCUCUUUCUUGUGUGAAUUACAUGCUUGGAUUCAGAAUUUAAUUUCUUGUCUCUUAUUUUAUACAAUCGUUCCGACAAACUAUCUGGUUCACUGAAUACCUGGAACUGAUUUCCCAUCCUGCGGUUUAAGUUAGCUACUAGUAGUUUUGGACUCGCUACAAAAAAAUGCGGUUUCAGAGAUGGAAAUUUCCAUCGCUGAUGCCUUAAAUUCCGUCGCUAACGACUUUUACAAACGGAAUUGAUCGGUUGGAAAAUCCGUCAGUAAUACCCCCACAGCGAGUUUUAGCACCAAAUUACCUAAGCCGUCGGUGAUUUAGAGAUGGAAGAAGCCGUCAGUGUUUACCAAUGGCUAUUUUCGUCACUAAUUUGCAACAAAAUUUCCCGUCGCAUAUUACCUACAGAUUCUGUCCGUUGAUGAUUACCUACGGAUUUUCGUCGCUAUUUUUGUUACUAAUUUGAAUUAAAUUAUUAGAAAAAAAUGUGUGAUUUUAUUUUAAUAAUUAUUUUCUCGAAACAGUCCAUAAGACACCAGAUAGUCGAGCAAUUCACUCAUUCUGUAUCAGAUUCUUGAAAUUUUACAGAUCUAGGUUCAUACUCACGAGAUGUAUAAUUUACAAUGGAUUUAAAAAUCAUUUCUCACCUACAGGCUUCAGCAAAAGUUUUACCUGAACUUCUUGCUUGCAAUUUAAAACUACUUCAUUGAUGCAAUAAGGGUGGAUUUGAAGGGAGCACAUCUCGAGCUGUUGGAAAAUGUCAUAUAAAAACGCGAAUCACCAAUUUGUAUUCAUGCCCGUCUUCAAAACAUAUCUCAAUUUGGAAUAUAUCAUUAAUGUUGCCAUUGUUUCAGAUGAUUUCAUUUCUUCGAAAUGCAUUGCAUUAAUUUCAUAAUAGACUGCUGGAAAAUAGUAAUCCAUUGAACUUUGACCUGGCAUGUGCAAUUAAACAGUGACCAAAAGAAAGCUAGGAAGAGAGAGAGAGAUUGAUCAUAGAAGGGGCCAGAACAAAGCCUCAGCUUCCAAAUUGAGAUCAAUUCCCCUAUGUGAUGUUGAGUGUGUGCCCAAGGAAAAGAGAAAUCAGAUUCCUAAAUGGGUGGAUUUUCUCAACAUCUGAACAGGGUGAAAUGGGGUGGGCGGUGGGGUGAGAGGGAGGGUAUAGAAGGGGAAGAAGAACUGGAAUUAGCCAUGGAUUUCAUUAUGUAACUAGCUUGGAGUUGUAAAGUUGUUGGCUUUACAUUUGUGUCUUUGAGAUAUAAAUGUACAAGAAAACGGUUGAAUUAAAUUUUUAAUCUGAAGGGUUUGGGAGGAAAUGAAAUAUUUGAAUGGGAAUUGGAUGGAGGGAAAUGAAAAUUUUAGAGGCAAGUCAAAUUUUAGAUGGGAAUUGAAGCUUUUUGAAUUUUCCGAUGGAAUUUUUCAUUGGUAACUAUAUAAUGGUUCUAAAAAUUUAAUUUCAAUGUUUACCAACAAAUUUUUUCUGUUGGUAAUUUAUUUUACC